UACAGAGGGUGCAAGCGUUAUUCGGAAUUACUGGGCGUAAAGGGCUCGUAGGCGGCCAACUAAGUCAGACGUGAAAUCCCUCGGCUUAACCGGGGAACUGCAUCUGAUACUGGAUGGCUUGAGUUCGGGAGAGGGAUGCGGAAUUCCAGGUGUAGCGGUGAAAUGCGUAGAUAUCUGGAGGAACACCGGUGGCGAAGGCGGCAUCCUGGACCGACACUGACGCUGAGGAGCGAAAGCCAGGGGAGCAAACGGG
Molecule: ribosomal RNA, 253 nt
Filed under: uncultured bacterium
Lineage: Bacteria
Description: partial 16S ribosomal RNA
Rfam family: Bacterial small subunit ribosomal RNA
Source: RNAcentral